UACGUAGGGGGCAAGCGUCGUCCGGAUUUAUUGGGCGUAAAGAGCGUGUAGGCGGCCAGACAGGUCAGCUGUGAAAACUCGAGGCUCAACCUCGAGACGUCGGUUGAAACCGUCUGGCUAGAGUCCGGAAGAGGAGAGUGGAAUUCCCGGUGUAGUGGUGGAAUGCGUAGAUAUAGGGAAGAACACCAAUAAAGGCGAAGGUAGUUAACUAUUCUAUUCCUGACAUUGAGGCAUGAAAGCGUGGGGAGCAAACGGG
RNAcentral lists this ribosomal RNA (256 nucleotides) under uncultured bacterium. Its description in RNAcentral is "partial 16S ribosomal RNA". It matches the Rfam family "Bacterial small subunit ribosomal RNA", at positions 524 to 776 of the family's 1533-position model. The record is from RNAcentral.